GCCCUGAUGGUCUAGCGGUAUGAUUCUCCCUUAGGGUUGUGAACCCACAUCUGGGAGAGGUCCCAGGUUCGAUCCCUGGUUAGGGCC
Molecule: transfer RNA, 87 nt
Filed under: Colletotrichum navitas
Lineage: Eukaryota; Fungi; Ascomycota; Sordariomycetes; Glomerellales; Glomerellaceae
Description: tRNA-Pro
Source: RNAcentral